Molecule: ribosomal RNA, 164 nt
Filed under: Panicum pauciflorum
Lineage: Eukaryota; Viridiplantae; Streptophyta; Magnoliopsida; Poales; Poaceae
Description: 5.8S ribosomal RNA
Rfam family: 5.8S ribosomal RNA
About the family: 5.8S ribosomal RNA (5.8S rRNA) is a component of the large subunit of the eukaryotic ribosome. It is transcribed by RNA polymerase I as part of the 45S precursor that also contains 18S and 28S rRNA.
Source: RNAcentral
CACACGACUCUCGGCAACGGAUAUCUCGGCUCUCGCAUCGAUGAAGAACGUAGCAAAAUGCGAUACCUGGUGUGAAUUGCAGAAUCCCGCGAACCAUCGAGUUUUUGAAUGCAAGUUGCGCCCGAGGCCUUCUGGUUGAGGGCACGCCUGCCUGGGCGUCACGC